UCUGACAAACUCUGUAGCAGCUGGCUUACUGGUGGGGUCCUCGGUUCCUCGGGUCCGAACCUACACGGGUGGACUCCAAUGAGGGACCAAACAUACAUAACAUAACUCUAAUAUACUCCCCAAAAACCCCCUAAAACAUCAAGAAACAAUCAUAGAAAAACAUGCAAGAAAUGGCUGAACAGGGCACUUUCGGCGGCAGGUUCGGCGGCCGAAAGUCCCUCCAGAGCCGAAAGUCAGGCAGGUUCGGCGGCACCUUCGACGGCCGAAACUCCCAGACAGAGGCGAAACUCAUGCAUGUUCGGCGGAACCUUCGGCAGCCGAAAGUCCCAGACAGAGACGAAAGUCUCUUUUCGGGGGCAACUUCGGCAGCCGAAUGCUGCCUCCACAAGGGGGUUCGGCGGCCAAAAGUUCCUUCGGCUGCCGAACCUGGUUUCUUCCCGAAGGGCAGAAACUUGGCUCUCAUGAGCUUCUUGCCUCCCAAAACCUCAAAUCAUGCAUAAACUUGUUCUAAACAUGCAUACACAUCAUACAUUACACCUAGGGGUCUCAAACUAGCAAAUACCCUAACUACAACACUUCAAACACACAAAAAUCAACAUACAUUGUUCAUCAAAACAUCAAAACCCAUAAACUCAUCAACAAGCCUAAACAUGCAUCUCUACCCAUAAAACCACUAAAUGCUUGUUUAAAACACAUAAUAAGGGUGGAUCCGAGCUUACCUCUUGAAGAAACGAGAGGAAAGGCGAUCCUAGCUUGGAGAUGGAGAGAUUGAGCUCUUUGAACCUCCAAGUACCCAAAACUUGCUCUUUACUCACAGAUCUUCAAAACAGAAGUUAAAACCCGUGAAAAUCAUGGAAGAUCUAAGGAAAACACUCAAGAUCGAGGGAGGGGUGGCGGAGACUCACCUUGGCCGACAACGGGGGAGAAAAAGCUCGCCCG
This 939-nucleotide long non-coding RNA is filed under the name Manihot esculenta (cassava). RNAcentral's name for it is "long non-coding RNA (MESC_LNC006696)". The record is from RNAcentral. Lineage: Eukaryota; Viridiplantae; Streptophyta; Magnoliopsida; Malpighiales; Euphorbiaceae.